This 520-nucleotide ribosomal RNA is filed under the name Staphylococcus kloosii. RNAcentral describes it as "partial 23S ribosomal RNA". It matches the Rfam family "Bacterial large subunit ribosomal RNA", at positions 153 to 670 of the family's 2925-position model. The record is from RNAcentral. Lineage: Bacteria; Bacillati; Bacillota; Bacilli; Caryophanales; Staphylococcaceae.
AACAUGUGAAUACAUAGCAUGUUUGAAGGCAUACCCGGAGAACUGAAACAUCUUAGUACCCGGAGGAAGAGAAAGAAAAAUCGAUUCCCUGAGUAGCGGCGAGCGAAACGGGAACAGCCCAAACCAACAAGCUUGCUUGUUGGGGUUGUAGGACACUCUAUACGGAGUUACAAAAGUUAUGGUUAGACGAAGUAUCUGGAAAGAUACAUCAAAGAAGGUAAUAAUCCUGUAGUCGAAAACGAUAACCCUCUUGAGUGGAUCCUGAGUACGACGGAGCACGUGAAAUUCCGUCGGAAUCUGGGAGGACCAUCUCCCAAGGCUAAAUACUCUCUAGUGACCGAUAGUGAACCAGUACCGUGAGGGAAAGGUGAAAAGUACCCCGGAAGGGGAGUGAAAGAGAACUUGAAACCGUGUGCUUACAAGUAGUCAGAGCCCGUUAAUGGGUGAUGGCGUGCCUUUUGUAGAAUGAACCGGCGAGUUACGAUUUGAUGCAAGGUUAAGCAGGAAAUGUGGAGCCGUA